This 492-nucleotide ribosomal RNA is filed under the name Triticum aestivum (bread wheat). RNAcentral's name for it is "partial small subunit ribosomal RNA". Lineage: Eukaryota; Viridiplantae; Streptophyta; Magnoliopsida; Poales; Poaceae. The record is from RNAcentral.
AUGCAGGAGGGUGAUUACACCGCGGCCCUGAGGCUCGCGGUUGUCACCAUCGAGCCGCCGAACGCGUUCCACAACGACACGGCGGCGGUCCAAGCGGCUCUCCUCAGCGACAUCGGCCACAUCCUCCCGGAGACGAUCCCGUCGUCGAUCGGGUCCAUGUAUCUCCGCUUCGCAUCUCCAGCGGACCACGAGGAAGCCAUGCGGCACCAGCCAUUCAUGCACGAGGGUGCGCGCAUCGACCUACACCGCGAGGAGUGGUACGGGCGUACGCAUGUGCUUGCUAGGACGUGCGCCCUCCUAGCUGCCACCUGCUUCCCCGCCGAGCACCUCAACCGCGCUGGCAUUUCGGCUGCGUUCGCCUCCUUUGGCAAGGUGCUGGAGAUUGAUCCUUUGGUGCUUGCGGGGAGGGACCUCGCCACUGUUCACGUGGUGGUCCGUCUCUGCAACCCUCGUGAUGUCCAUUGCGAUGUCUGGCCGAUCGGCAGCCGCUGA